This 301-nucleotide long non-coding RNA is filed under the name Manacus vitellinus (golden-collared manakin). RNAcentral's name for it is "lncRNA (ENSMVIG00005016362.1)". The record is from RNAcentral. Lineage: Eukaryota; Metazoa; Chordata; Aves; Passeriformes; Pipridae.
GCUCCCUCACCAAAAGGGGGGCAAAACUUGACCAAAUAAUUGAAAAAAAAAUUAGAAUAUUGGAUUGUAGCACUUUCCUUUCCCAUUAUUGGAUCCUGGAUUCCCGGGCAGGACGAGCCUCUCCCAGCUCUGUCAUUCCCAGACCCGGGUUGUAGCAGUAACCCUCAGUGAGAUCUUGCACCGAGGACUCACCAUCCCCCAGGAGCUGAAAAGGACGGGACAGGACUGUGCCAAGCUCCAUCCUCUGUGGAUAGACCAUCAACAGGCACACCUUCGUUUGCUGGACACGGCCCGGUUGUGA